UACGUAGGGUGCGAGCGUUAUCCGGAAUCAUUGGGCGUAAAGAGCUCGUAGGCGGUUCAGCAAGUCGGCUGUGAAAGUCUGAGGCUCAACCUCAGAAUUGCAGUCGAUACUGCUGUGACUCGAGUCCGGUAGAGGAGAAUGGAAUUCCCGGUGUAGCGGUGAAAUGCGCAGAGAUCGGGAGGAACACCAGUAGCGAAGGCGGUUCUCUGGGCCGGCACUGACGAUGAGGAGCGAAAGCGUGGGGAGCAAACAGG
RNAcentral lists this ribosomal RNA (254 nucleotides) under uncultured bacterium. RNAcentral's name for it is "partial 16S ribosomal RNA". It matches the Rfam family "Bacterial small subunit ribosomal RNA", at positions 524 to 776 of the family's 1533-position model. The record is from RNAcentral.